GAUGAACGCUGGCGGCGUGCCUAAUACAUGCAAGUCGAGCGAACGGACGAGAAGCUUGCUUUUCUGAUGUUAGCGGCGGACGGGUGAGUAACACGUGGAUAACCUACCUAUAAGACUGGGAUAACUUCGGGAAACCGGAGCUAAUACCGGAUAAUAUUUUGAACCGCAUGGUUCAUAAGUGAAAGACGGUCUUGCUGUCACUUAUAGAUGGAUCCGCGCUGCAUUAGCUAGUUGGUAAGGUAACGGCUUACCAAGGCAACGAUGCAUAGCCGACCUGAGAGGGUGAUCGGCCACACUGGAACUGAGACACGGUCCAGACUCCUACGGGAGGCAGCAGUAGGGAAUCUUCCGCAAUGGGCGAAAGCCUGACGGAGCAACGCCGCGUGAGUGAUGAAGGUCUUCGGACCGUAAAACUCUGUUAUUAGGGAAGAACAUAUGUGUAAGUAACUGUGCACAUCUUGACGGUACCUAAUCAGAAAGCCACGGCUAACUACGUG
This 497-nucleotide ribosomal RNA is filed under the name uncultured bacterium. RNAcentral's name for it is "partial 16S ribosomal RNA". It matches the Rfam family "Bacterial small subunit ribosomal RNA", at positions 28 to 507 of the family's 1533-position model. The record is from RNAcentral.